AUGUGUGCUCAUGCAACUUCCGGUAAGCCUGUAUCUCGCACGCCACAAGCAAAGCUCGUCGUGCCAGCGCUGAUGGCCCUUCAGCUCAUCGUGGCAACAGUCGCCGCUGUCCCACUAGCCUUGCCUGGCUGCCCGGAGGCCUGCGGCAGGGUCAUCGUCCCCUACCCUUUCGGCUUCCGGCAAGGCUGCUUCCACGCGGGCUUCAACCUCACCUGCGACGAGACACGCCACCCUCCGAAGCUGCUCCUGGGCAACGGCGUGGAGGUGGAUGCCAUCUCCCUGGUGGAUGGCACGGUUCAUGUGCAGAGCAAGACCGUGAUUGCCACGCGGUCCGGCCCUAUGAGAAACAGCACGCGGAUGCCAUCUUUCAUCAACUCCAACGGCUCGUGGGUCAGCGGCCUAACGGGUACCGGCGGGCAGCAGCUCGCUCUGUCGUCCGAGCACAACGGCCCCGAGGAGUUCACCUCAUGCUCGGGCGUUGGCUGCUGCCAGACGAUGUUCAAGGAUUUGGUCGAUAGAGAGGCCGUGUACCAGGUGACGUUCAAGGAUUUGGACUAUACGGAUGCCAGUUACCAACCGUCGGAGUCAGUAGCCACGCUCAUAGUCGAUCGCGAGUGGUUCAACGGGAAUGCGGGGGUGAUGCUUAAUAACACCUUCGGUUCUUAUGACCACCAUUGGGGAAGUUUAAGCCCCGGAGCCGUACCCACCGUAUUAAUUUGGUGGCUGGAACAAGAGCGUGACCGUGAUAUAGUGUUCUAUGAUCCUAAUAUCUCUCACUGGAGAUGCCUAAGUUUGAACAGCGUCGUUACCUAUGUUAAUGGAUUUGCAAUAAGGUGCAGUUGCUUGGACGGAUACGAAGGCAAUCCUUACAUGCGUCACGGAUGCCAAGAUUCGAGGAUACGAGGGCAACCCCUUACAUCACUGAUGGGUGCCAAGAUAUCAACGAAUGCCUACAGCCAGGUGUUUAUCCCUGCCAUGGGACCUGCAUCAAUAUGCCAGGGACAUACCGAUGCUCAGCAAAGAAAAGAAUCAUCAACUUACCAAGUACGGAAAACACACUCAAUAAGGCUUUUGUUGGUGACAAUUACAAAGAGAAAAGUCCAUGUUUUGUUCAUCAACUAUUGUCUAAUUACCAUAAUAGCAAUUGCUGCUGGUUUUGGCCUACUUUCUUCAGUCCUAGGUGUUGCCCAAGUCACAAAAAAACUCAAGAAACGAAGAGCCAAGAAGUUCAGACAGAAGUUGUUCAAGAAAAACCAUGGAUUGCUUCUGCAACAGUUAAUCUCUUCGAACAAAGAUAUAGCUGAAAAGAUGAAAAUUUUCAGCUUACAAGAGCUAGAGCAAGCAACCAACAAGUUUGACCAUAACCGGAUCCUUGGCGGCGGUGGGCAUGGCACCGUGUAUAAGGGCAUCUUAUCUGAUCAACGUGUUGUGGCCAUCAAGAAGGCCAAAAUUGUAGUUCAAAGGGAAAUCGACCAAGAUAUCAAGUGCGCAAAUAUACUGCUUACUGAUACCUUAACAUCAAAAGUAUCAGAUUUUGGAGCUUCAAGGUCAAUUGCAAUUGAUGAGACUGGAAUACUAACAGCUGUCCAAGGAACCUAUGGUUACCUUGAUCCUAAAUAUUACUACACUAGUCGGUUCACGGAGAAAAGCGAUGUUUACAGCUUCGGUGUCAUCCUAGCAGAGUUACUGACAAGGGUGACAUCAGUUUUUUCUUCUCAUUCCUCAGAAGUCACAUGCUUAGCAUCACAUUUUGUGUCACUUAUAAGAGAUAGUCGAUUCUUCGAUAUUGUCGAUACACAAAUUGUUGAGGAGGGAGGGGCUGAAGAUGCCGAGGUAGUUGCAAGACUCGCGGAAACAUGCUUAAAUUUAAGAGGCGAAGAAAGGCCUACAAUGAGGCAAGUGGAGACAACACUUGAAGAUGUGCAGAGCUCAAGGGUCCAUCUCAAUUCUCAGAUUACAAGAGUGGACCAGAAUGCUAUAAAUGAUCAGUCAUACAAAGGAAGCAAAUGUGGCGAAGGAACUAGAUUGUACAGCUUGGAAAAGGAAUUUAUCCAGUCAUCUAAAAUUCCAAGAUGA
This 2076-nucleotide ribosomal RNA is filed under the name Triticum aestivum (bread wheat). RNAcentral's name for it is "partial small subunit ribosomal RNA". Lineage: Eukaryota; Viridiplantae; Streptophyta; Magnoliopsida; Poales; Poaceae. The record is from RNAcentral.